GAAGUUUUGAUUACUGGCUCAGGAUCAACACUAGCUGCAAGCACAACCCCUGCCCAUCGAGCUGGACUACCUUUCUGUGUUCUAAUACAGACGCGCUUUUGCCUAGCUCGCAUGCCUGCGUACCUUUCUCCGGAGAUAGCGCGAUCCACAUUUGCAUUACCACCCCAUAUGAUUAUAGGGUGGGUGCAUUUGAUAAUUAAAACUGAAGUGGUGAAAUAGGGGCAUGCGUCCUAUUAGCUACUUGGAGUGGUAACGGCACCCCGAGGCUACUAUAAGUACGGGUCCUGAGAGGGAGAUCCCCCACACUGGUACUGACACAGGGACCAUACUCCUACGGGAGGCAGCAGUGAGGAAUAUUGGUCAAUGGUCGGAAGACUGAACCAGCCAUGCCGCGUGCAGGAAGAAUGCCUUAUGGGUUGUAAACUGCUUUUAUAUGGGAAGAAUAAGGCGUACGUGUACGUUGAUGACAGUACCAUAUGAAUAAACAUCGGCUAACUCCGUGCCAGCAGCCGCGGUAAUACGGAGGAUGCGAGCGUUAUUCGGAAUCAUUGGGUUUAAAGGGUCUGUAGGCGGGCUAUUAAGUCAGGGGUGAAAGGUUUCAGCUUAACUGAGAAAUUGCCUUUGAUACUGGUAGUCUUGAAUAUCUGUGAAGUUCUUGGAAUGUGUAGUGUAGCGGUGAAAUGCUUAGAUAUUACACAGAACACCGAUUGCGAAGGCAGGGGACUAACAGACAAUUGACGCUGAGAGACGAAAGCGUGGGGAGCGAACAGGAUUAGAUACCCUGGUAGUCCACGCUGUAAACGAUGGAUACUAGCUGUUUGGCGCAAGCUGAGUGGCUAAGCGAAAGUGAUAAGUAUCCCACCUGGGGAGUACGCACGCAAGUGUGAAACUCAAAGGAAUUGACGGGGGCCCGCACAAGCGGUGGAGCAUGUGGUUUAAUUCGAUGAUACGCGAGGAACCUUACCAAGGUUUAAAUGGAGACUGACAGGUGUAGAGAUACGCCCUUCUUCGGACAGUUUUCAAGGUGCUGCAUGGUUGUCGUCAGCUCGUGCCGUGAGGUGUCAGGUUAAGUCCUAUAACGAGCGCAACCCCUAUUGUUAGUUACCAGCACGUAAUGGUGGGGACUUUAGCAAGACUGCCGGUGUAAACCGUGAGGAAGGUGGGGAUGACGUCAAAUCAUCACGGCCCUUACAUACUGGGAUACACACGUGCUACAACGGUCGUUACAGAGAGCAGCCACUGCGAGAGCAGGAGAGAAUCUAUAACGCAGAUCACAGUUCGGAUCGGAGUAUGCAAAUCGACUCCCAGACGCUGGAAUAGCUACUAAUAGGAUAUCAGCCAUGAU
RNAcentral lists this ribosomal RNA (1345 nucleotides) under uncultured bacterium. RNAcentral describes it as "partial 16S ribosomal RNA". It matches the Rfam family "Bacterial small subunit ribosomal RNA", at positions 1 to 1358 of the family's 1533-position model. The record is from RNAcentral.